GGACAAGCGGUCUCCACUUCAAGGUGCCGUCAAGAAGGCCAUCAAGAGCCAGAAACUGGAUGACAUGAGACCCAAAUCCCCCAAUCGAUCCUUCUUCCACUGUGAUUAAAAUCUCAUGUGAUUUAGCUAGACUUCGGAUGAGGGCUCGGUCGAGUGGCUUGCAGAAACGUCCAUCUGCAACUGUUAUUCGUAAGCCAUGGCGUUCAACCAUAGAUGCAGCAGCCAAACAGUUUUGAACUGCCGUUCCAUAGCCCAACAGGGCAACUCUUUCCCCUUCAAGUAAAAUCCUCCCUUUCCCGACCUCAAUAGGAAUGCCU
Molecule: unclassified non-coding RNA, 317 nt
Filed under: Hevea brasiliensis (rubber tree)
Lineage: Eukaryota; Viridiplantae; Streptophyta; Magnoliopsida; Malpighiales; Euphorbiaceae
Source: RNAcentral